UAUAGUCCCAGGUCUUUCUCUGCCUCUGUGGUGGAUAGUGGAGUGUUUCCCAUGUGGUAUUGGUAUGCUGGAUAUCCCUUCACUGGUAGCCUGGUAACAUACAGUCCCAGGUCUUUCUCUGCCUCUGUGGUGGAUAGUGGAGUGUUUCCCAUGUGGUAUUGGUGUGCUGGAUAUCCCUUCACUGGUAGCCUGGUAACAUACACUCCCAGGUCUUUCUCUGCCUCUGUGGUGGAUAGUGGAGUGCUUCCCAUGUGGUAUUGGUAUGCUGGAUAUCCCUUCACUGGUAGCCUGGUAACAUACACUCCCAGGUCUUUCUCUGCCUCUGUGGUGGAUAGUGGAGUGUUUCCCAUGUGGUAUUGGUAUGCUGGAUAUCCCUUCACUGGUAGCCUGGUAACAUACACUCCCAGGUCUUUCUCUGCCUCUGUGGUGGAUAGUAGAGUGUUUCCCAUGUGGUAUUGGUAUGCUGGAUAUCCCUUCACUGGUAGCCUGGUAACAUACACUCCCAGGUCUUUCUCUGCCUCUGUGGUGGAUAGUGGAGUGUUUCCCAUGUGGUAUUGGUACGCUGGAUAUCCCUUCACUGGUAGCCUGGUAACAUACACUCCCAGGUCUUUCUCUGCCUCUGUGGUGGAUAGUGGAGUGUUUCCCAUGUGGUAUUGGUGUGCUGGAUAUCCCUUCACUGGUAGCCUGGUAACAUA
Long non-coding RNA from Eriocheir sinensis (Chinese mitten crab), 695 nucleotides. RefSeq lists it as uncharacterized. The transcript is spliced from 3 exons. The record is from RefSeq and is a predicted model, not a curated record. NCBI's taxonomy places the organism in Eukaryota, Metazoa, Arthropoda, Malacostraca, Decapoda, Varunidae.